ACACCAAGUCCAAUGCAACAUGUUAUACUGAAUUGCCCGUGUAACACGGGAUGUUGCUAAUGUAAACCAUAUUGCCACCAGAAUCCAGUGACGGAUGCAGGGACCAUAUGGACUUGGAUGCAACACAUUAUCAUCUUGCAUGUUGACAACAGACUGUGCCACAGGAGGGUGAGUUUAAAUCCUACAUUAACAGGUGGUACAAUAUAAUGCAUGUUUUGGUUAUCAUGUCAAAGAAUCCGUAGAUUCGCCCUAUUUGGGGUCAACAACUCUGCAACAGUACAUACACAGCCAUAGUUCACCAGGGAGGAGAGUGUUUGUCAUUAAAUAAACGAUUGACUGCUUCAAGGUUAACUCUAAUACUCCUUACUAAC
Molecule: long non-coding RNA, 371 nt
Organism: Haliotis rubra (blacklip abalone)
Lineage: Eukaryota; Metazoa; Mollusca; Gastropoda; Lepetellida; Haliotidae
Exons: 3
Source: RefSeq, a predicted model, not a curated record